CAGUCGCCGCGGUAAUACGAAGGGGGCUAGCGUUGUUCGGAUUUACUGGGCGUAAAGCGCACGUAGGCGGAUCGAUCAGUCAGGGGUGAAAUCCCAGAGCUCAACUCUGGAACUGCCUUUGAUACUGUCGAUCUGGAGUAUGGAAGAGGUGAGUGGAAUUCCGAGUGUAGAGGUGAAAUUCGUAGAUAUUCGGAGGAACACCAGUGGCGAAGGCGGCUCACUGGUCCAUUACUGACGCUGAGGUGCGAAAGCGUGGGGAGCAAACAGGAUUAGAUACCCGGGUAGUCCCUGUCUCUUAUAC
This 301-nucleotide ribosomal RNA is filed under the name uncultured bacterium. RNAcentral describes it as "partial 16S ribosomal RNA". It matches the Rfam family "Bacterial small subunit ribosomal RNA", at positions 509 to 807 of the family's 1533-position model. The record is from RNAcentral.